Molecule: ribosomal RNA, 301 nt
Filed under: uncultured bacterium
Lineage: Bacteria
Description: partial 16S ribosomal RNA
Rfam family: Bacterial small subunit ribosomal RNA
Source: RNAcentral
CAGUCGCCGCGGGAAUACAGAGGGUGCGAGCGUUAAUCGGAUUUACUGGGCGUAAAGCGUGCGUAGGCGGCUUUUUAAGUCGGAUGUGAAAUCCCUGAGCUUAACUUAGGAAUUGCAUUCGAUACUGGGAAGCUAGAGUAUGGGAGAGGAUGGUAGAAUUCCAGGUGUAGCAGUGAAAUGCGUAGAGAUCGGAAGGAACAUCUGUGGCGAAGGCGACUAUCUGGGCCAACACUGACACUGAGGCACGAAAGCGUGGGGAGCAAACAGGAUUAGAUACCCCGGUAGUCCCUGUCUCUUAUAC